RNAcentral lists this ribosomal RNA (2929 nucleotides) under groundwater metagenome. RNAcentral's name for it is "bacterial LSU rRNA". The stretch from base 1 to 2569 matches the Rfam family "Bacterial large subunit ribosomal RNA". The record is from RNAcentral.
CGGCAAGCCGCGCUCUGCGCGGCGGCGAACCCGCUGAAGUGAAACAUCUCAGUAAGCGGAGGAAAAGAAAACAAGCCUUGUGCUCCGCACAAGGAUAUUCCCUUAGUAGCGGCGAGCGAAAAGGGAAUAGCCCAAACCUAGCCAUACCUCUUUGCGCUUGGUACGAACUUAAAUGAAAAACUAAAAGCGAAAAGCGUAAAAUAACAACCUAAAACUUAAAACAUUUUGUUUUGAAUUUUGAACUGUUGUUUUGCAUUUUACGUUUUACGCUUUACGUUUAAGUGAAUACCGAGCGUAGCGAGGUGUGGCUGGGGGUUGUAAGUUAAUGGUGUUUUGGAGCUUUUGCUUCAAAAGGAGUCUAUCAAAAUGAAAUUUCGUUAGCUAAACAAGGAUGGAAAGCCUGACCAAAGAAGGUAAUAGUCCUGUAAGCGAAAACGAUUUCAUGCUCCUAACUGUUAUACUUGAGUACUUCAAGGAAUGAAAACCUUGAAGGAAGCAGGCUGAACUAUCAGCCAAGGCUAAAUACUUAAUCUCACCGAUAGUGAACCAGUACCGUGAGGGAAAGGUGAAAAGUAGCCCGGAAGGGCGGUGAAAUAGAACCUGAAACCAUCACGCCUACAAAGAGUCAGAGCUCCGCUUCGGCGGGGUGAUGACGUGCUUUUUGCAGAACGAGCCAACGAGUCUUUAUUUUCAGUUUGUCUAAGCCCUUCUGGGGCGAAGGCAAAGCGAAAGCAAGUGUUAAUAGCGCGACCCCUGAUUUAUCAGGAAGACUGGAAAUAGAGAACCCGAAGCCAAGCGAGCUUGCCAUGGCCAGGGUGAAUCUCGACGAAAGUCGAGAGGAGGCCCGAACCCGUGAGCCGUGCAAUACUCUGGGAUGAGCUGUGGUAAGAAGUGAAAAGCUAAUCGAGCUUGGUAAUAGCUGGUUCUCCCCGAAAUAGCUUUAGGGCUAGCCUUCGCCUAAAUUUUCGCAGGUAGAGCACUGAAUGGAAUUACGUGGGCUUUGCCUAGUCUUUCCAAUCAAACUCCGAAUGGCGAAAAAAUUUUGGCGGGGAGUUAGACUGUGGGGGCUAAGCUCCAUAGUCAAAAGGGAAACAGCCCAGAUCUUUAUCUAAGGUCCCUAAACUACUGCUGAAAGGCAGGUUCCAACUCUUUUAUUAAAAGGGUUGCGAAGAGCUAAGUGUUUUUAAGGAAGUGAAUUUCCAAAGAUAGUUAGGAGGUUAGCUUAGAAGCAGCUAUCCUUUAAAAAGUGCGUAAUAGCUUACUAAUUAAGGAAUUUCGCGCCGAAGAUUACCGGGACUAAGCUUAGUACCGAAGAUAAGGACCCGUGAGAUAUUUUUAUUUCAUGGGUGGUAGGGGAGCGUCUUUAGUGCUGCGAAGUCAAACCGUGAGGUUUGGUGGAGCGCUAAGGAGUGAGAAUGUUGGCAUGAGUAACCGCAAUCCCGGUGAGAGCCCGGGACACCGAAAACCUAAGGUUUCCUUGGCAAUGACAAUCAACCAAGGGUUAGGCGGUCCUUAGUCUUUGACCGAAUGGUCUGGAUGAUGGACAGCCGGUUAAUAUUCCGGCCCCUGAGCGCAUAAUUCUAAGGAGUGACGGAGUUUAGUAAUUUGAGCAGAUUAUUGGAUUUCUGUUGUUAGCUUGAGAUUUUUCAAGGGCUAACAGGAAGUCCUGCUACGGUGGGAUGAACUCAAAUGAGCAAGCUUCCCAGAAAAACUUCUUAGGAGUUAGUUAUGCGUUUAGUCCGUACCGUAAACCGACACAGGUGGGUAGGCGUAAAUGUGCCAAGGUGAACGAGUGAAACCUCGUUAAGGAACUCGGCAAAAAAGUGUCCGUAAGUUCGCAAUAAGGACUGCCUGACCUUGUGCUUUGCACAAGGCUGGGCUGCAACAAAAGUAUCCCAGGCGACUGUUUAUCAAAAACACAGGUCCCUGCUUAACUCGUAAGAGGAUGUAUAGGGGCUGAGGCCUGACCAGUGCUGGAACGUUAAAUUUGGCGGUGUCAAGCGCAUAGUUUAUGUGUUUGGCGCUGACUGAAUGAAGCGCCAGUGAACGUCGGCGGUAACUAUAACCGUCUUAAAGUAGCGUAAUCCCUUGCCGGGUAAGUUCCGGCCCGCAUGAAAGGCUUAACGACUUGGGAACUGUCUCAACGAGGAGCUCGGUGAAAAUGCAAUACCGGUAAAGAUGCCGGUUACCUGCGGCUAGACGAAAAGACCCCGGGAGCUUUACUAUAGCCAGAUAUUGAAUUUUGGCUUUGAAUGUGUAGUGUAGCGGGGAGUUCUGUUCUUUGAGAGCAGGACGCCAAUGAAACACCCGUCUUUCAAGGUCUUUGUUCUAACUUUGCCUUAAUUGGCGAAAAACAGUGUCUGGUAGGUAGUUUAAGUGGGGCACUUGCCUUAAUUUAUGGGGCCUCUAAAGAGUAAUCUUUAGAGCAAACUCGACUAAUAUGCUGGAACAUCCGAGUAUCCAAAGAUACUUAAUUUUGAUAAAAUUAAGUAAUAAUUCUUUGGUGCGGACAAUCAGCAGGGAAACCCGCCAAAGGCGGAUGCCCUCAACGACUGUAUGUCGAGUCCCUUUGAGAUAUAGAAUUAUUUCAAGGGGUAGUGAUACAGUCUGAACUUUAGGGCGACCUAAAGAUUCGGCAAGGUUAGUUUUAGUGCCCGCUAACUAAUCCGAAACUUAAACUCUGAAAUUAUGCGAAGUAAAGAAAUCGAAGAAUAUAAAAGUAAACUCUCUCUAAGUCAAAGACAAAAAGAAAUCUUAAUUGGUUUGAUUUUAGGAGAUGGUCAUUUAGAAAGAUUGUAUACACCGAUACUAGGAAGAUUAAAAGUAGAACACAGCUACAAACAGAAAGAAUAUGUUGACUGGAUUUAUGAGGAAUUUCGGAAUUGGAUAAGGAGUAAACCAAAAUCAAAGAGAAAGAAAGUUUGGAAUA